RNAcentral lists this ribosomal RNA (424 nucleotides) under Metschnikowia pulcherrima. RNAcentral's name for it is "partial large subunit ribosomal RNA". It matches the Rfam family "Eukaryotic large subunit ribosomal RNA", at positions 127 to 526 of the family's 3401-position model. The record is from RNAcentral. Lineage: Eukaryota; Fungi; Ascomycota; Pichiomycetes; Serinales; Metschnikowiaceae.
GGAAAUCCCCACGGGGAUUGUAAUCGUAGAGAGGUAGGGUCCGGCGGGCGGGGGUUAAGUGCAGCGGCAGAGGGGCGGCCACAGAGGGGUGACAGCCCGCGUGGACCCUCCCUCUAACGCCCUCAUCCCAGAUCUCCAAGAGUCGAGUUGUUUGGGAAUGCAGCUCUAAGUGGGUGGUAAAUUCCAUCUAAAGCUAAAUACCGGCGAGAGACCGAUAGCGAACAAGUACAGUGAUGGAAAGAUGAAAAGCACUUUGAAAAGAGAGUGAAAAAGUACGUGAAAUGGUUGAAAGGGAAGGGCUGGCAAGCAGACACUUAACGGGGCCAGCAUCGGGGCGGCGGGGAGACAAAACCACCGGGGAAUGUACCUUUCGAGGAUUAUAACCCCGGUCUCAAUCCCACAGCCAGCCCCGAGGCAGUGCAAU